This 253-nucleotide ribosomal RNA is filed under the name uncultured bacterium. RNAcentral describes it as "partial 16S ribosomal RNA". It matches the Rfam family "Bacterial small subunit ribosomal RNA", at positions 524 to 776 of the family's 1533-position model. The record is from RNAcentral.
UACGUAGGGGGCUAGCGUUGUCCGGAAUCAUUGGGCGUAAAGCGCGUGUAGGCGGUCCGGUAAGUCCGCUGUGAAAGUCGGGGGCUCAACCCUCGGAUGCCGGUGGAUACUGUCGGGCUUGAGUACGGAAGAGGCGAGUGGAAUUCCCGGUGUAGCGGUGAAAUGCGCAGAUAUCGGGAGGAACACCAGUAGCGAAGGCGGCUCGCUGGGCCAUUCCUGACGCUGAGACGCGAAAGCUAGGGGAGCGAACAGG